CGAUGAACGCUGGCGGCGUGCUUAACACAUGCAAGUCGAACGAUGAGGCCCAGCUUGCUGGGCCGAUUAGUGGCGAACGGGUGAGUAACACGUGAGUAACCUGCCCCCGACUCUGGGAUAAGCCCGGGAAACUGGGUCUAAUACCGGAUAUUCUCUCUCCGCCGCAUGGCGGGGGGUGGAAAGCGGUUUAGCGGUCGGGGAUGGACUCGCGGCCUAUCAGCUUGUUGGCGGGGUAACGGCCCACCAAGGCGACGACGGGUAGCCGGCCUGAGAGGGUGACCGGCCACACUGGGACUGAGACACGGCCCAGACUCCUACGGGAGGCAGCAGUGGGGAAUAUUGCACAAUGGGCGAAAGCCUGAUGCAGCGACGCCGCGUGAGGGAUGACGGCCUUCGGGUUGUAAACCUCUUUCAGUAGGGAAGAAGCGAAAGUGACGGUACCUGCAGAAGAAGCGCCGGCUAACUACGUGCCAGCAGCCGCGGUAAUACGUAGGGCGCAAGCGUUAUCCGGAAUUAUUGGGCGUAAAGAGCUCGUAGGCGGUUUGUCGCGUCUGCCGUGAAAGUCCGGGGCUCAACCCCGGAUCUGCGGUGGGUACGGGCAGACUAGAGUGAUGUAGGGGAGACUGGAAUUCCUGGUGUAGCGGUGAAAUGCGCAUAUAUCAGGAGGAACACCGAUGGCGAAGGCAGGUCUCUGGGCAUUAACUGACGCUUAGGAGCGAAAGCAUGGGGAGCGAACAGGAUUAGAUACCCCUGGUAGUCCAUGCCGUAAACGUUGGGCACUAGG
This 784-nucleotide ribosomal RNA is filed under the name Arthrobacter sp. AM9T. RNAcentral's name for it is "bacterial SSU rRNA". It matches the Rfam family "Bacterial small subunit ribosomal RNA", at positions 26 to 820 of the family's 1533-position model. The record is from RNAcentral. Lineage: Bacteria; Bacillati; Actinomycetota; Actinomycetes; Micrococcales; Micrococcaceae.